AUACGUAGGUGGCAAGCGUUGUCCGGAUUUACUGGGCGUAAAGGAUGCGUAGGCGGUAUGUUUAAGUGAGAUGUGAAAUACCCGAGCUCAACUUGGGUCCUGCAUUUCAAACUGGAUAUCUAGAGUGCAGGAGAGGAAAGCGGAAUUCCUAGUGUAGCGGUGAAAUGCGUAGAGAUUAGGAAGAACACCAGUGGCGAAGGCGGCUUUCUGGACUGUAACUGACACUGAGGCACGAAAGCGUGGGGAGC
Molecule: ribosomal RNA, 248 nt
Filed under: uncultured bacterium
Lineage: Bacteria
Description: partial 16S ribosomal RNA
Rfam family: Bacterial small subunit ribosomal RNA
Source: RNAcentral